RNAcentral lists this ribosomal RNA (493 nucleotides) under Streptomyces alboniger. RNAcentral describes it as "bacterial SSU rRNA". It matches the Rfam family "Bacterial small subunit ribosomal RNA", at positions 129 to 636 of the family's 1533-position model. The record is from RNAcentral. Lineage: Bacteria; Bacillati; Actinomycetota; Actinomycetes; Kitasatosporales; Streptomycetaceae.
CCCUUCACUCUGGGACAAGCCCUGGAAACGGGGUCUAAUACCGGAUAACACUUCCACUCUCCUGGGUGGAGGUUAAAAGCUCCGGCGGUGAAGGAUGAGCCCGCGGCCUAUCAGCUUGUUGGUGAGGUAAUGGCUCACCAAGGCGACGACGGGUAGCCGGCCUGAGAGGGCGACCGGCCACACUGGGACUGAGACACGGCCCAGACUCCUACGGGAGGCAGCAGUGGGGAAUAUUGCACAAUGGGCGAAAGCCUGAUGCAGCGACGCCGCGUGAGGGAUGACGGCCUUCGGGUUGUAAACCUCUUUCAGCAGGGAAGAAGCGAAAGUGACGGUACCUGCAGAAGAAGCGCCGGCUAACUACGUGCCAGCAGCCGCGGUAAUACGUAGGGCGCAAGCGUUGUCCGGAAUUAUUGGGCGUAAAGAGCUCGUAGGCGGCUUGUCACGUCGGGUGUGAAAGCCCGGGGCUUAACCCCGGGUCUGCAUUCGAUACGGG